GGCUUCCUGAGGUGAGCAUCUUUUUCUCUCUUUUAGGUAAUAGCUGCAGAUCUGGGAGGUGGGGUGAUGCCUGAUGGUUAAUGAAGCCCACAAGGAGUGAUGAGGCCCUGUGCCCAGGAUUCCAGGAUCACUUCCACUGCCUACGAAAGUGAUUGCCAUUGAAUCAGGCUUGCGUGGGC
This 179-nucleotide long non-coding RNA is filed under the name Sus scrofa (pig). RNAcentral describes it as "lncRNA (ENSSSCG00070014907.1)". The record is from RNAcentral. Lineage: Eukaryota; Metazoa; Chordata; Mammalia; Artiodactyla; Suidae.